CCUACGGGGGGCAGCAGUGGGGAAUAUUGGGCAAUGGGCGCAAGCCUGACCCAGCAACGCCGCGUGAAGGAAGAAGUCUUUCGGGUUGUAAACUUCUGUUAAGGGGGAAGAGCAGAAUACGGUACCCCUUGAAUAAGCCACGGCUAACUACGUGCCAGCAGCCGCGGUAAUACGUAGGUGGCAAGCGUUGUCCGGAUUUACUGGGUGGAAAGGGCGUGCAGCCGGAGAGACAAGUCAGAUGUGAAAUCCACGGGCUCAACCCGUGAGAUGCAUUUGAAACUGUUUCGCUUGAGUGUCGGAGAGGUAAUCGGAAUUCCUUGUGUAGCGGUGAAAUGCGUAGAUAUAAGGAAGAACACCAGGGGCGAAGGCGGAUUACUGGACGAUAACUGACGGUGAGGCGCGAAAGCGUGGGGAGCAAACAGGAUUAGAUAACCCUUGUAGUC
RNAcentral lists this ribosomal RNA (443 nucleotides) under uncultured bacterium. RNAcentral describes it as "partial 16S ribosomal RNA". It matches the Rfam family "Bacterial small subunit ribosomal RNA", at positions 338 to 795 of the family's 1533-position model. The record is from RNAcentral.